UCAGAUCUCCGUGGUUUCUUACGGUAAAGAGAAACCUGCCGUUCUGGGUCAUGACGAAGCUGCAUGGUCCAAAAACCGUCGUGCCGUUCUGGUAUACUAAGAGAAUCGCAUGAGCAGUAACUUCAGACAUCACCUGUUG
Molecule: small RNA, 139 nt
Filed under: Dickeya dadantii 3937
Lineage: Bacteria; Pseudomonadati; Pseudomonadota; Gammaproteobacteria; Enterobacterales; Pectobacteriaceae
Description: CpoB/ybgF ICR thermometer
Rfam family: CpoB/ybgF ICR thermometer
About the family: Imprinting control region from upstream of cpoB/ybgF (tol/pal system protein).
Source: Rfam by way of RNAcentral